AGAGAUGCACUGGGUGUAAAGGGUGCGCAGGCGGUUUUGUAAGACAGAGGUGAAAUCCCCGGGCUCAACCUGGGAACUGCCUUUGUGACUGCAAGGCUGGAGUACGGCAGAGGGGGACGGAAUUCCGCGUGUAGCAGUGAAAUGCGUAGAUAUGCGGAGGAACACCGAUGGCGAAGGCAAUCCCCUGGGCCUGUACUGACACUCAUGCACGAAAGCGUGGGGAGCAAACA
RNAcentral lists this ribosomal RNA (230 nucleotides) under uncultured Alicycliphilus sp. RNAcentral describes it as "partial 16S ribosomal RNA". It matches the Rfam family "Bacterial small subunit ribosomal RNA", at positions 548 to 774 of the family's 1533-position model. Lineage: Bacteria; Pseudomonadati; Pseudomonadota; Betaproteobacteria; Burkholderiales; Comamonadaceae. The record is from RNAcentral.